RNAcentral lists this long non-coding RNA (40946 nucleotides) under Triticum aestivum (bread wheat). Its description in RNAcentral is "long non-coding RNA (TAES_LNC007741)". The stretch from base 36580 to 36665 matches the Rfam family "MIR1120/MIR1122 microRNA precursor family". The record is from RNAcentral. Lineage: Eukaryota; Viridiplantae; Streptophyta; Magnoliopsida; Poales; Poaceae.
GAAGGACUACUAGUUGGACUAGGAAAGGGGGAAUCCUACUCCCGGUGGGAGUAGGACUCCCCAUGGCGCACCAUAGAGAGGGCCGGCCUCCUCCUCCCUCCCUCCUUUAUAUACGGGGGCAGGGGGCACCCCAUGAACACACAAGUUGAUCUACGGAUCGUUCCUUAGCCGUGUGCGGUGCCCCCCUCCACCAUAUUCCACCUCGGUCAUAUCGUCGCAAAGCUUAGGCGAAGCCCUGCGCCGGUAGAACAUCAAGAUCGUCACCACGCCGUCGUGCUGACGAAACUCUCCCUCCCCGAAGCUCUACUGGAUUGGAGCCCGAGGAGCGUCAUCGAGCUGUACGUGUGUCAAGAACUCGGGGGCGCCGGAGUAACGGCGCCGGGAUCGGUCGGAUCGCGAGGAGAACGUACGACUACUUCCUCUACGUUGUGAUCGCUUCCGCUUCGGUCUACGAGGGUACGUAGACAGCACUCUCCCCUCUCGUUGCUAUGCAUCACCAUGAUCUUGCGUGUGCGUAGGAAAUUUUUUGAAAUUACUACGUUCCCCAACACUACAAGUCAAUGCGUUCAACUGAACGUUACAUUCUUUGAGCACUGCGACUCUAUCAUACGAGCGCCACGCAUAACUUCCCCGAAAUAAUGCUCGGCAGGAAGCCGGUUUCCAUCCGAACCCUGGGCAGCAACAGCGGUGGCAUCCAUCUCCGGACACCGCGCCUUUACACGGGCCAGAGCCAUCCGCGCGCCCUCGAUGUAGGCCGACCGUUUCAUCUCCUUGAUAUGCGGCACCGCCCCAAGGAACUGCUGCAGUAGGCCGAAGUAGCUCGUCGCCUUGGACCUCUCUGGCCAUAUAUGGGCCACGAUGUCAGUCAUAGCCAGCCUGGACAGUCUAUUCAGUUCGGCCCAUUCGGCCAACCUGUCCGUCAGCGGAAGAGGGCGAUCCGGACUGUGGAAUUGAGUCCAAUAUAACUCUUCCGCCUCGUGAUCCCCCUGGCUCCGGAAGUGCUUAACGGCAUCAGCCGCACUCGCAGCCAAAUCCAUAUAUGGCCUCCGAACUCCACAGCCGCUCAAAUUGAGCGUACUUGGCAUCCAUAAACCGGCGACGCAUAAGAAACGGCUUGCCAGCCGUGAUUUCUCCGGCUUGGCGCAGCUCCUCCUUCAUAGCCCGCAUUGCAGAACAGGCAUCCUUGGCUUCGGCGGUGGCCUUCUUCAGGUCUUCCCGCUCCGAUAAGCGCUCCUUUUCAAGAGCCUCAUUGCGGUCGGUAGCAUCCUUUAAUUUCUUGGCCAAUUCGGCCACCUCUGCUUAGGCAGUGCGCCGCCUUCUCGGCUUUCAACUCUUCGGCCGCCCUCGCGGCAGCCACGUCACUCCUUCGGGCUUGCUCCUUAGCCAGAGCAAGUUCGGCCCGAAGGCUCUCCACAGCAGCAGCACUAUCUGUAUUAACAACAUAUAACUUAUCAGAGGCGGGCUUGGACCCACUCAAUAAAGCAGCUGCGGAGAACUUACUUACCUUGCGACUCAUCAAGUCGCUGAUUGACAAGGGCGAUGUCAGCAUCUGCCACGUCAAGUUGUCGACUUAAUUCGACAAACUCACUAGUCCGGCUGGCCCCCGGACUAUCCGCCACCUGUAUCAGAGCGGCGGUAUUCAUUGCCUGAGAUGUUGAGAUUUUGAUCCUUGGCACGCUGUCGUUUUCGACAACCUACCGAGUCUCAGGGGCUACUAUCUAUACAGGGCGCAUUUUUUAUAUGCAAAACUGUUAAAAAACAAAGGGGUGCAUCAUUUUCGCAUACCUCAAAUCCCGCCAGCAAGCUCAGGGCGGCAUUACGCAAUCCGCUUUCAGCGGACGAAAUCCUUCCGACCACCGUACGCAUUAAUACGCGGUGAUCUUCUGAAAUGGACGCCCUCUCAAGCAAACUCUUCAGUUCUCCCGGCCGGACUCUGGUGGGUGUUGAACUCUUUGGCCCCUCCGGACUCGGGGACGCCCUCCGUGACGACACUUCGGGCUCGCCUGCCUCAUCCGGCGGCGCGUCAGACGGAGGCGUAUCGCUCUCCAUCAUCUCCGGAAGAAGAUCCCCCGAGGAUGAACUCAUCUGAGACGGCUGCAGAUCCGAACUGCGACAUAAAUAUUCCGGUUACCUACAGAAGCGUAAACGAAGGUACUUCCUUAUUAAACUUCCUCUUUCAUACUCACGGCUCGUUGGAGGGCCGGUCCUUGGGCGAUGAUUGCGCGCCCGGAUUCCCUCCGGACGCCGGACCCCCCGGUGGGGAUUUCUUCCCACGCUUAGGGGCUUUGACCUCCGGAUCUUCGGAGGCGGUCCUCUUCUCCCUCUGAAGGGAGGGAUCCUUGGUUCCCUCCUCUUCAGUCGCCCCUUUGGACGAAGUAUUAGCUCCUUUAUCUCCCCCGUCGCCCCCCUCUGUGGGCGCAACCUCCAACAUUCUGACCAGCACGGGCUCCAGUGCGGUCUCUGGGAGGGGGGCCGGACACCUUAUCAGCCUUGAUCGCGCCACCCAUUCCUAUAAAGAACAAAAAGGGUCAGGAGAUGAUCUUUUGAAAGGCAUACAAAUAGAAUGUCCGAGCUCUGAGCUACUUACCUGAGUAUCCGGGCGAUCGCGGCUUAAGCCCGCGUCCUCGGCCGAAUCCGGACACGCUACCUGCGGUCCGAAGAACAGCUUGUACAUCUCCGUGGGUGUCGCGCCCAUAAAAUGCUGGAGAAUACGAGGUCCCUCCGGAUUGAACUCCCAUAGACGGAGAGGACGACGUUUGCAGGGCAGGAGAUGCCUGAUUAGCAUGACUUGCAUCACCUUGACCAGGUCGAUCUCCCCUGUUCGGAGGUCUUGAAUCCGGCCCUGCAGUGCGGGCACGUCCUCGGACGGCCCCCAGUUGAGCCCUUGGUUGACCCACGACAUUAGUUGCCGUGGAGGUCCCGGGCGGAAGGAGGGCGGUGGCUUUUGCUUGCUGCCCCUUGGAGCAGUGAUCUAAAACCACUCCUGCUGCCACAAUCCCUGCUCCUCUUGGAAGGAACCUUCGAGCCACGGGGCAUCGACCUUCUUGCUUAUGGUCGCCCCGCCGCACUCCGCUUGACGCCCCCCGAUCAUCUUCGGCUCCACCUUGAAUGUUUUCAGCCACAGGCCGAAGUGGGGGAUGACGCGGAGGAAGGCUUCGCAGACGAUAAUGAAUGCGGAGAUAUGGAGGAUGGACUCCGGAGCCAAAUCAUGGAAGUCCAGCCCGUAGUAGAAAAGGAGCCCUCUCACAAAGGGAUCCGUCGGGAAGCCUAAUCCCCGACGGAGGUGAGAUGCGAAAACGACGCGCUCGCCGGGCUCGGGGGCUGGCACGGCCUGCCCUGGGGCAGGCAACCUGUGCGAAACUUCGUAGGCCAGGUACUUGGCCUCCCGCAACUUGAAAAUGUCCUCCUCCGUGACGGAGGAGGGCAUCCACCGGCCCUGGAGGUCGGAGCCGGAAAUUGUAUAGGAUCCGAAGCGCUCGAAUCUGAAGCUCGGGGUGUUGGAACUAGGAGCAGAGGAAAGAUUCGAUGCGAGAUUGAAGAACAAGGACAGGCCUUGGUCCUCUUAUAAAGGGGGAAGAAAUACCAAGGCCCGUCUCCGUGACCGUUUGAGAUUCCUGUUCGAUAGAGGAGGCGUGGCGACGGGGACGGUUGGGUUACCCACACACGUAUUGAUGAGGAUCCCGGAAUAAAAGGGAACACGAUCUCUGCUUCGACAGGACGUGCCAAGGAAAUUGCUUCGCUAAACGUGCUGAGGCGGAAUAAUAAAAACGAUUCGAACAAGGGCUUGGCUGCGGUGUGAUGUCACGCCGCAUAAUACGUCAGCAGAUUGAGCUAAGUGUAUAUUUUAUCCUCUCUACGUUGGAGUGUGGAAUUUAUUUUGCAGAGUCGAAUACUAUCCUGGUAUUCAUUAUCUUCUCCGGAUUAUUCAAGGGAGGAACCCGCCUUGCAAUGCCGAACAUUAUGCACGCCGGACUUAUCGUCAUUGAAGACUGGUUAAGGGGCUACUGAGGGAGUCCUGGACUAGGGGGUGUCCGGACAGCCGGACUAUCAAUAUCCGCCGGACUCCCAGACUACGAAGAUAGAAGAUUGAAGACUCCGGCUCGUGUCCGGAAGGUACUUUCCUUGGCGUGGAAGGCAAGCUUGGCAAUACGGAUAUGUAGAUCUCCUACCAUUGUAACCGACUCUGUGUAACCCUAGCCUCUCCGGUGUCUAUAUAAACCGGAGGGCCUUAGUCCGUAGGACAACAUUACAUCUCAACAAUCAUACCAUAGGCUAGCUUCUAGGGUUUAGCCUCCUUGAUCUUGUGGUAGAUCUACUCUUGUACUACCCAUAUCAUCAAUAUUAAUCAAGCAGGACGUAGGGUUUUACCUCCAUCGAGAGGGCCCGAACCUGGGUAAAAACAUUGUGUCCCUCGUCUCCUGUUACCAUCCGCCUAGACGCACAGUUCGGGACCCCCUACCCGAGAUCCGUCGGUUUUGACACCGACAUUCCUCCUUUCCUUCUUUGAAGUACCGGUAGGGGUACGGAAAAGAUUGGAUUUUUAUCGAUCUGGAUUUUUUUGGCAAAUCGACGAAAAUAAAACUAAAUACAGGUUGGCAAAUGGGACACUAUUUGUAGACCGAAGGACCAAGGUGGCUUACCUAUUGAAAACCUUGAAGUGAAAAAUAAGUGAUUACUUAGCAAAUGGUUAUACCGAUUGGCGGUAGAGAGGGAUGGAGUAUGGAUUUAGCUGUUGCAUAAUAAAUAUUUACAUUGUAAAACGUUGGCUCAAGGGACAUCACAUCCAUCCGACUCUCCGUUUUGGAAGGAGCCUAUGAGGACAAAGGUUGCCUUCUUUAACUGGAGUAAGUUUAUUGUAUGGAAUGGACAUGGGACUAGGUUUUGGACGGACACUUGGUUGGGUGAGACUCCACUAGCCUUGCAGUAUCCGUCCUUAUAUAACAUGAAAACAGAAUGAGCGGUCGGUGAAAAUCCAAUGGCUGAAAUGGUUGAGUUGACCAGAUCUGAUGGCCAGGAAUGCCACAAAUCGAGAGCUCACCAUGGAAGCAAGUUGGCUAGGGUCCUUGUAGGUUAGAAUUGCACAACGGAAAAAAGUUUAUGUUGCUAUAGUGUUGUGAUACGUUCUUCUUAACAUUCAGUUCAGAUGGUCGUUAGUGGGUCAAAGAUUGGAUAGAUGGUUGCAUCUCGUGCGCAUGUUAAUGCAGGUAAACUUAUCUGAUGCAGCAGACUCCUUAUUUUGGAAGUUGUCCGCUUUAGGAGAGUUCUUAGUUAAAUCUAUGUAGACAGACUUGAUUAACACCGGGCCCAUCCUGAGGGCGAUCCACAUCUGAAAGAUUAAGGUACCAUUGAAAAUCAAGGUGUUUAUGUGGUUUGUGCAUAAAGGAGUAAUUUUGACAAAAGAUAACUUGGCUAAGUGUAGUUGGGAAGGAAGUAAAAGAUGUUGCUUUUGUGACACAGACGAAACAAUAGAGCAUCUAUUCCUCCAAUGCCCACUUGCUAAAUUAUUGUGGCGAACCAUUCAUGUUGCUUUUAAUAUUGUUCCGCCUCGGUCUCACAUUUAUUUGGGUCUUGGUUAAAUUGGAUAGAGCCCAAAACAGCGACACACAUUUGAGUUGGGGUAUGUGCAUUACUUUGGCUCAUUUGAAAUUAUCGAAACGAUGUUGCCUUUUACAGACAAACCAUCACCAAUUUUUUGCAGGUUAUCUUCAAGGCGUCUACUUGGAUCUGUAUGUGGUCAUUACUCAACCAUGUGGACCACAGGGAGCAUAUAUGGAUAUUGGGUGCAACCGAUGGGAGAUGAUUGCACGGGAUACUUAUAACCGGUUUGGAUGCGGUCCAAUAAUAGGAUAGGUUUUAGUCAUCUUACCCUAUUUUCCUUAGUUGUGGCAAAUUCCUUUUUUGAGACUUGUACUUUUGUUUGAGACUUCGUGUUGAACUUGGAUUAUAAAUAAAAUGGUUGUGUGCAUCAAAAGAUGCAGAGGUCGAGGGUUUUCCUCCUUUUCGAAAAAAAAAUUGUACUCAAGUUGCUCGUCCGGAAAAUCAAGGCUUGUCUACCUCUCUUGUCUUUUCACAUGGAGCGUGUACUGGCCAUACUACUAAGACUAGCCACUAGAAUAAUAAAUUUGGUUUUGCCAAUUCUCACUCCGAUGAGAAUUAACUAAAUCUCACUCAACAACACGGUAUGGAUUUACACGAAGAUUGAUGCAUAUUUUUCUUUUUUUUGUUCCGUUUGAUUGUUUUACAAUUUUUUAUUGUUUUGGCUAGCGAGCAUGCACUACAGUUGUGUGGCCGACUGGCGGAACUUGAUCCAUCAUUUGUAUGUGGCCUUUGAAUUACAUGAUGAGGUCAUUGACAAGGAUGACAAACCAAAUUCCUUUAACAGGAGGUGAAGUUCUACAAACCAUUUUAAUUUUUUAAAAUACUGGCGAUAGAAUAUAUGCAUAAGCUACAUUUGGAAACCAAAUAUAAAAAACAUAAGUCAUCAUGGCACAUCCUAUUACUUGCCAUUCCCAAUGAAUGGUAUUCUCGCCUGUUGAUUUUAGAUAGAAUUGCAACUAAUGUAAUUUCUUGUGCUAUAUUAAUUUGAAUUUUCAAUUCCAUAAUUUUUGGUAUGUCAAUGUGUUAUUUUACACCGGUCAUUGGCAUAUUUUCCAAAAUUAAAAAGUGCAACAAAAAGGUGUACGGAAACAGGGAAAGGAAAAACUGAAAGUGAAAGUUAUAGGGAAAUUAGAUAAAUAUACAAUAAAAUGUCAUAAUUCUACAUGAAAAUACUAAUAUAGCACAAUAAAAUAUAUUAUGUGUAAUAUGAACCUCCCUAAGGCCACAUGUUUAUCUAUCGGUCACUUUGAACAUACUGAAGAUGAUGCUCUCUUUUUUGUGAAUGCCAUCAAGCUAGUUACUAGACCAGAAAAAUAGAGACCAAACGGGUAGAGCACACAAGUAUAGUGAUCCAUGAUAUGCAGCAAAGCAUGUACAACUAGUUAAGAGCAUUUAUAGUCGGGCGUUUCAAACCAAUCUCAAACGACUGGGAUGACCGACACCCCUUAUAUCAAGCCCAAAUCUGAGCAGAUAUGGGGUAGCCCAGGAGCGUCCGCCAUGUUGGACUGAUGACCGGGUCUCACACACGUAAUCGCCCAUAAACCCAACGUUCGAUGGGCGUUUCCUCUGGUGGUGGUUGUAAAAGUGAUUUGGGAAGCGUAGAACCCUUUGUCUCGGGCCGCAUGCAUAUAUUAGGCAGAAGCCUUGGCACACAAGUUUACAGGGGGAGAGAUCAAUCAGAUGGGAUCGAUCAAGUCGUUACAGAAGGAUCGUGAAAGACAGAAGAAGAGAUAGAACAGAAUACAGAAUUUAAACCAACUCUAUCUCUAUAUAACUUCUACUACACUUCUACUAUACGUAUAUUCCAACACUCCCCCUCAAUCUAAACCUCAAGGAGCUUUGCCAAGGUUAAGAUUGUACUUGAAAUCAUUCAACCUCCUUUCAAUAAGGGGUUUUGUAAAACCAUCGGCAAGUUGAUCUCCUGUGGGAAUAAACCGAAUCUCCAGAAGCUUUCGAGCUACUCUUUCUCUGACAAAAUGGAAAUCAACUUCAAUGUGUUUAGUCCGUGCAUGAAAAACAGGAUUUGCUGAGAGAUACGUUGCACCAAUAUUAUCACACCAUAAUCUCGCAGCCUGUGGAGUUUUAACUCCAAGCUCAUAAAGUAAUGUUUGUAUCCACAUUACUUCUGCUGUGGCAUUAGCCAGAGCCUUAUAUUCAGCCUCUGUGCUUGACCUGGACACUGUAGCCUGUUUUCUUGCACUCCAUGACACAAGGUUAGUUCCCAGAAAUACAGCAAAACCACCUGUAGAUCUUCUAUCAUCAGCACAUCCUGCCCAAUCAGCAUCAGAGUAUGCAGUAACAAGCAGAGAAGAGGACUUGGUAAUGUUGAGACCAAGACCUUUUGAGAACUUGAGAUACCUUAAAAUUCUUUUGACUGCAGUCCAAUGUGUGGUUCUAGGUGCAUGUAGAUAUUGACAUACCUUGUUCACUGAAUAAGAUAUAUCAGGACGGGUGAGAGUUAAAUACUGCAAGGCACCUACAACACUCCUAUAAUUUGUUGCAUCCUCUCGUCCAAGAACUUCUCCACUUUCCACUGUAAGCUUCUCAGAGGUAGAAAUCGGUGUGUUAACUGGCUUGCAAUUUUCCAACCCUACUCUCCUGAGAAUAUCAGUUGUAUAUUUUUCCUGUGAGAGAAGUAUGCCAUCUUUAACUUGCUUUACCUCUAUACCAAGAAAAUAAUGAAGAUCACCCAAGUCCUUAAGAGCAAACUCCAGCUUCAGAUCUUUAAGCAAGCAAGUAGUGGCAUCUGAACUUGAACUUGCAACAAUUAUAUCAUCAACAUAAACCAGCACAAAAAUAGUAACAUUGCCUUUGCUAAAGAAGAAUAAUGAGGUAUCUGCCUUGGAUGGUCUGAACCCAAGACGUUGCAACUGCAUACUUAGUCUGGAGUACCAGGCUCUUGGGGCCUGCUUCAAACCAUACAAAGCUUUAUCCAACUUACAGACAUGUUGUGGUGUGCUAGGAUUCUCAUAACCUGGUGGUUGCCGCAUGAACACUUCUUCCUCAAGAACACCAUGAAGAAACGCGUUCUGAACAUCUAGCUGUCUUAAACUCCAUCCUCUGGAAACAACAAUAGACAAGACAAGGCGAAUAGUAGUUGACUUAAUAACAGGACUGUAUGUAUCUUCAUAAUCAAUUCCAAACCUCUGUUUAAACCCUUUGGCAACUAGUCUAGCCUUAUACCUGUCUAUGCUUCCAUCAGACUUUCUUUUGAUUUUGUACACCCAUUUGCAAUCAAUAACAUUGUUUCCAUACUUUGGUGGAAGCAAAUGCCAGGUUUUAUUUUUCAUAAGUGCAUCAUAUUCACUAUCCAUAGCUUCCUUCCAAUUCUUAUUAUCAAGAGCAUCAUCCAAACUUAGUGGUUCACCAGUGGUGGUAAGAAAAGCACGUUUGAUUUUGUCAUACCUUAUUGUACCAUCAUUGUACUUUUUUUCCUUGAUGGUACCUGACCUGGACCGUGUUUGCCGAGGAGAAACCACUACUAGGGAAAAGCCUAGCAGCAGCGCGGGUUUGGGCCCUCUCAGUAGCGCGGGUACCGGCGCUACUAAUAAGGCGCUACAGCUAACGUAUAGCAGUAGCGCGUGCUGACACACGCUACUGCUACACAUGAAUAGCUGCAGCGCUGUUUAGAAAAGGACGCUACUGGUAUUAUCUGCAGUGCUGUUUUGGUGUAAGCGCUAAUGGUAAGUCGGCGCUACUGCUAAAUCCCCCCCUCGCUACUACUAGUUUUAUUAGUUUUUUUUCCCUGCAGAUUUGUUUUUUAUUUGUUUUGCAUUUGAAUAGGCUUUAUACAAUAAUCUUUAGCAUAUCAUCCACAUACAAAUGUAAUCAUAGCAUAUACAUACAAUUAGUCUCAUCAAAUCAUGUCAUCAUCAUAAUCAUCAUCCAACACAAAGUGGUCUCUCGUCAUCAAUCUCGAAAAUAGCGAUACAAGUCUCGAUUACUUGCAAAUACAUCAUCAUCCAUCUAAAUAAUGAUAUACAUGAGAAUAGCUAUCACUUUGAGUACAUGAGUUCGUAUCCCUCUCUCGCAUUAGCGUGAACCUAAACUAAGUACUGCGUGUCGCUCGGAAACCGAAAACCGGUACACCUGGGCCUGACACUCCGGCCACUUGUCGUAUAUAUACUCCUGGCGUAGCACUUCUUCGCCAUUUAUGAUCUAUGCACCUGCAUCGUCACAUGAGUCGAUGAUAUGCAACAUAUAUAGUUGAGCAACACAAAGAGAUAGACUUGGCAAAAAUAGAAACAACAUAUCAUAAGCAUAAAUAACAAAGUUCAUCGUACCGAAAUGACCUAACUAGAGUGAUUUUCGCUAGUCGAGGAGGACGGUUUAAUUACAUCACAAAUAAAGUUUCACCGUGCAUAACUCAAAGUUUUGUCAUAAAAGAAACUAUGGACUAAACGGACACAUUGUCAUAUAUCGACAAUCACUCCAUCAUGUCGUGCCAUCCAUCCAAGUCAGGGAGAUAGUCAUCGAGCUUUGUGAAAGGCUUCAUGUCGAGACGCUGAGAGGCUAUCCAUGUUCGGACGUCUUCCCGCGACAUUUGUCCUUCUGCAUGGAACAUCCCUGUUUUUCCGACGACCUCAUUCAUGAUGAUUUGGGCAAGUUCGCACUGGAUGUUAUAGAACUCAGCUCAAAGUCGAUGAUCCUCGAUAUCUCCUAUGUCCUUUGCCCAUUGCAGAAUAUGGGCAUCGCUAGAUCUAGGUGCCAUGUGUAGGUUCUGGUGAUCCCGUCGGUACUCCAGCAUGUGGUGUAGGACAUAGAAUCCAUCAUUAAGAGAAUCGUUCGGUUGCUGGAUGCAGCAGAAGUCGGUCUUAUGGCUGAAGGCGUGCCUGCCGCCCCUUUUCUUCUUGUCCCUAACCUCUCCACCCCUUGCUUGGUAGUAAAACAUAGCAUUGUCGAGAACAUCUUUGAUGUGGGUGUAAUCCUUUUUGUGAAUGUUCUUCGACGAGUCCAAGUAAAGAGCGUGGGAGAAUCAGGGGUAGAGGAUGAUGAGGACGGCGCGCCCGCCGCUGCGCAAAAUAAGUACACCUUAAAUUAAUUAGCCUCCACCGUGCAAAUGAAUUAUUGAAAUCGAAGGAAGGAUAGCAGCGCAGAUGACUUACACGGGAUGAUAAGGCACGAGAAUCGCCUCCUUGUCCUUAUUGGCGAGCAUGAAACUGACGAUGUAAUCCCUCGCGUAUUCACGAUGAUGUGCACAGACUCCCAAGAAGGCCUCGUGCAUGUAGUACGGGUCAGCGACACGGAUAUGAGCUAUCUGCUCAACCCCAAUGAUGUAGCUCAUGUGCAAGGCAUAAAGGUGGACAAAAGUAAAAUCCAGCUUCUUCACGUGAAACAUGUCGAAUAUGUAAUCGAAUCGGAGGAAGAACUUAUCCGCGGGGAAGCCAUUGACGUACGACAUUUGCUACGGAACGUUAACCACGUAGAGUGGGUAUCCUGGAUCUUUCGAGGCGAUGAGGCCUUUCUCUACCCGCAGCACAUCGUCAUGAAGUCUCCUUAGAUCGCCGAAUCUGGCCCGUAGCGCUGUUUCAGGUAGGAUUGGUUUACCCGGGAUAUGCCACUUAUCCGCAUCGGGGAUAUCUACACGGUCCCGAAGCCGAGGCUGCUGAGGCGGCUGGAUCAUAGAAUCAGCUUUUUUGCCUUUCCUCGCUCUCUUCCUAGGCUUCUUUACCACUGGAUGGUCGUCAAUAACACGUUGAGACGGUAAUUCAGGCACCGACUCAUGAUGCUCAAACCCUGAGGAGGCGCCAGUAUAGACAUACUGUUCAGCGCCAUCGUCAUCCUCAUCCUCAUCCAUGGUGACAUCAUCAGCCUAAUGGAGCCACCUGCUUACCCCGUCCGCUAUCACCCAACCCGACACCCGACGCUAAUUGGGUAGGUGGGGUGUUGAUGUUCAUACCUUGCUGAAGCUGCGUGCUCGUGGGUGUGCUCCCGGCCGCCUCCAGACGAAGCAGACUCUUUGGCCACAACAGGACCCACCCAUUGCAACAAUCACCAAGCCGCCGAGGGGUCUCGUCGUCAUCCCCCACUAGUAUUAGAGGAGGCAAAUUCUCGUGGCCCGGUUUGACACUGGCCACGGAAACCUUGAAGACGUUCGGGGGGAUCGACCGGCUGUGGAACAAUGGUUCCUUCGGCUCCAUUAUCGUCCCCUUCCCCACGUCCACCUUCUGUUCGCUGAUGGUGUACAAUAUGGUGCACGGGGUUUCGUCGACCUGCAAAUAAAAGUCUGCGACGUGAGACAUCCGAAAGGCAACGAAAACGGGAGAUUAUACAUUUAUAUUGAAGGGGGCCGGUGUGGAAGAUACCGUGAGGGCGUCGAGCUCAGCCAAAGAGGAGGCACCACCGAGCACGUCCGGUGCGGCAGCCGGUGCGGGAGCCGGUGCGGGAGCAGGUGCGGGAGCCGGUGCGGGAGCAGGUGCGGGAGCCGGUGCGGGAGCAUGUGCUGCCAAGAAGUCAGCAAGGGGAAAGUCCUCUGCAUUUUUUUGGAUUUUCCCUUGUCCAAGUGUGAACGCCCGUCACCAAGGAAGUAGAUAUAUCUGCAAUCGCCUGUUUUGCGGCAGCUACCGCUGUUGCGACUGUCUGAGAUGAUUUCUUCUCAACCGCAAUCUCAACCUUCUUGUCGAUGCUUUCUUCAGUUAACCUCCGUCUUUCCUUUUUCUCCUCCGUGGUCUCACGGUAGUACUUCUUCCACGUGGCGCCGUCUCCGACACCGUGCACGCGUCCAUACGACGGUCGAGUAUCCACCGGUUAUCGUUUCAAUAUGUUCAACGCCCGGUUGAAUGGAGUGUCCCACUUGGGCCUCGCCAAUGCCUCAGACGGUGAGUCGCUUUCGGCCGCAAUCCGGUGUUGCUCUCUCUGCAAAAGGCACAAGGAUCGUUUACAAAUAUGACUAACGUGUGCAGUCGAAUUGAUGAGAAACUAAAAUUACCAGCAGUCUCAUGAACUCCGUAAUGACCGGUGUUGUCUCAUAAACCUUCUUCAGUGGGUCCCAACGGUGGCGGGCCCUCAGGACGUCACGCUCCUGCGGGACGGUGAAAUCCGCCAAGGGGUCUGGGAUGCCCAGACUCGCGGCUUCCGCGUCCUCCUUGGCCCAUUUGGACCUCUUUCCGCCGUAACCACGGCUUCCGAGGUGGUGGGUCCCAAUGUUCCUCUUUUGAAGCCCCUUCAUGUACUUAGACUUUUCUUUGGCAGCUUCGGCCUCGCAAGCCUCCUUGAAUAUUUGAAACUGCUCUUCCGUGAUUGUCGGACUUUCCUUUACAAUCUCGGAGUAGGGUUCCCCGUCGUUGAUCUUUGCUUUCACUCGAUUUUUCCAGGCGGCCAACGCGUUGCUAAACUUGGUCAUGGCGUGUUUGUUUAUCUUCUUCAUUGCCGGGUCAUUGUCUGGAUCUUCAUAAUCCUUCUCAUUCCGGCCCGGGAACAAGAAUAUUUGGUGAAACUUCUUUAGGAGGGAGCUCCUCAUAUUUUCUACCUUCUUUAGAUUCUCAUCGUUGAUGGUGGCGGUUGUCCGUAUGAUGCAGCCUAUUUGAUUGCCGUAGCACGCGCGCGCUUCCUCGGGCGCCUUUGGCUCAAAAUUGCCGUUGUCCACCUCGGUGACCACCAGUCUAGUAGUCCUGAGUUUGUUAGGAACCCGUUGCCUCUUCGCUUUCGGUGCUACACCGGAUCCGCUCCCUGAGGCAGCACCGGUCUCAGCGCCGGUCUCGAUGCCGGUCUGAAUCUCAGCGCCGGUGUCAGUCUCAGCACCGGUCUGCGUAUCGGUCUCAGCACCGGUCUGCGUGUCAGUCUCAGUCCCCGAUGCCGGGCCCAGCAACAACAUCUGUUGAUCGUCGGUAAAGCUAAAAAAUUCGUCUGCCGCCCGGUAGACGUCGUCACAAUCACCAGAACCCUGUCCUUCAUCGUUGCUAGCCAUGUUUCCUAUGAUUAAAUCUAGUCAAUUAAUUCUAGACCUAAUAAAAUGAAUAAUGACAUAAAAAAGGACUAUUGUUUUGCAGGAAUGUUGACUCCUUCUUGGUGCGGCAAAUCCCGGGCACUCGAUAUGUCCUAGUUUGUAGCACAAGUCAUGCCGAAAUUCACGGGAAAUUUCGGCAUGACCUUUGCUAAAAAGUGGACAAAUCGAGAACCUGAAAUUUGCCGGAACAGAAAUGAAUCAACAUUCCGGCAAAACACAGGCCACUCAGCAUCAUUCCCUGGAAACAACAAAGCCACCACUUGGGCACAAUCGAACAACUUCAAUGAAAAGAUAUAACAUGACCACUUCAAUGAAAAAUAAAAUUUGCCUAAAUUCUUUUCCUUGAAAAAUAGUGGUCUUUUGAAAAAUCAAAAACCUUUGCCAAUCUACUUAACCUAGCUUCUUAAUCCAACGAACCUAAUUAACCUACCUAUUUAACCUAGUUAGUUAAUCUAGUUUACCUAGAUAAUUAACCCUAAUUAAACUAGUUAACGCAGCUAGUUCUCUGUCAAAGCCUAAAAUAAAUUUUUGCACUAAUUAACAUGGAUAAUUAACCUAAUUAAACUAGUUAACCUGACUAGUUCUCUGUCAAAGCCCUAACUAAGUUUUUGCACUAACCUAGAUAAUUAACCUAAUUAAACUAGUUAACCUAACUACUUCUCUGUCAAUGCCCUAACUAAAUUUUUGCCCUAACCUAGAUAAUUAACCUAAUUAAAAACUGGCUAACCUAUGCAUGAGAGAGAGAGGAGGGGUGGGGGCUUACACAUGAUGGCUCCGGUGGUGGCGACGGAGACAGUGUGGUGGCGAGGGAGGCAGGGGCGUCUCCGGUGACGGCGAGGGAGGCAGGGGCGUCUCCGGUGACGGCGAGGAAGGUGGCGUCGACGGUGGCUCCGGUGGCGUUGACGAGGCCGCGCGGCUCCAUGGCGUUGGGGGCGGCUCCGGUGUCGUCGACGGCGCACGGCUCUGGUGCGCGUCGUCGGCGGCGGCGAAGUGUGGGGCGACGAAUCGGGGAGACGGCAGCGCGCGCGCGGGGUGGGUUUGAGGGAUUUGGGGGAAGUGGUGGCCGGGGGGGGGACGGUUUUUUGGCUAAGUCAAACUUAGCGGUAGCGCGUUUCGCAAAACGCGCUAUAGCUAAGUUAGCUAUAGCGCUUUCCUCAAAACGCGCUGCUGCUAUAGCUAAUUUCCUAUUCUGUUUCUAUAGCGGGGGUCUAGGGCACGCGCUGCAGCUACGUUAGCUGUAGCGCCUCUUACAAACAAACGCUGCUGCUAUGCCUUCCUCUGAUUUUUCACUUUUUCGUUUAUUUUGCUUUACAUUUUAUUUUUCCCUUUCUCCUUUUUCUAUUUCUUCCAUUUUCAUUUAAAUUUCUAUUUGUUUAUCAUCUUAUUUUCUUUCCGUUAGUAGUAGCGCUCUUCCCUGGAAACACGCUGCUAACUGUGCUCUAGCAGUAGCGCGUUUCUGUUAAGCUCGCUACUGCUAUGCGUAGCCUAGCAUUCUGCCAAUGGGAAUAUUAGUAGUAGCGCUUUUUUUACAAUAGGCGCUACUGCUAAAUUUGUGUCUGUAGCGCAGUUUUUAAUAGCUCGCUACUGCUAUAUAGCACUAGCGCAGUUUUUUGAACCGCGCUGCUGCUAAGAUUCUGUGUAUAGCCUUUUCCCUAGUAGUGAACCGUAGGCAGCACAGGAGAAAUCACCGCCACAGAAGAUCCAGCCGGCGCAUGAUCCGAGGCGGAUCCGUGCGACAGCUCGGCUGGCUCGGGCUCCAGAUCCGAGGAAGAUUCGCGCAGCGCAGGCGCCGAAUCAGCGCGCGUUGAUUCCUCCACCGCCGUGGGCCCAUGCGACGUGGGGUCCGCCCCACAUGCACGCGCACGAUCGGUUGCGUCCGCCGAUGCACUCCCCCCGGUACGCGGGCUGUCAGCGCGUGGGGACCCGGCGGCUGACGACGCAGCAUGAUUGGCUCGGGGCGACGCCGUGGGUCCGGUGGGCUCCACCCUAUCAGCCCGGUCGGCCACCAGCCCGGAUGAGGCCAGGCGCACGGGCGGAUCCGCUUGGGAUCGCACGCCGCCAGGUGCGGCAGUCUGGGCGGGCGUAUCGGCCUCGGAUCGCCCGCUGGCAGCCGAAUCUGCCUCGGGUUCCGUGACCUGCCUGUCUUUUCCUUCACACAUAAAAUCACAGGGUAAAGUUGCACAAAUAACAUCAGCAGAAUCAGAUUUUUCAUGGGAUUUUUGCAUAUGAUCUCGUUCAUUUAAUUCCCCCUCACUAUCAUAUAAUGUUGCUGAAGGAAAUAUGCCCUAGAGGCAAUAAUAAAGUUAUUAUUUAUUUCCUUAUUUCAUGAUAAAUGUUUAUCAUUCAUGCUAGAAUUGUAUUAACCGGAAACAUGAUACAUGUGUGAAUGCAUAGACAAACAAAAUGUCACUAGUAUGCCUCUACUAGACUAGCUUGUUAAUCAAAGAUGGUUAUGUUUCCUAACCAUGAACAAAGAGUUGUUAUUUGAUUAACAAGGUCACAUCAUUAGUAGAAUGAUCUGAUUGACAUGACCCAUUCCAUUAGCUUAGCACACGAUCGUUUAGUAUGUUGCUACUGCUUUUAUCCAUGACAUAUACAUGUUCCUGUAACUAUGAGAUUAUGCAACUCCCGUUUACCGGAGGAACACUUUGGGUGCUACCAAACGUCACAACGUAACUGGGUGAUUAUAAAGGAGUACUACAGGUGUCUCCAAAGGCAGAUGUUGGGUUGGCGUAUUUCGAGAUUAGGUUUUGUCACUCCGAUUGUCGGAGAGGUAUCUCUGGGCCCUCUCGGUAAUACACAUCACUGAAGCCUUGCAAGCAUUACAACUAAUGAGUUAGCUGUGAGAUGAUGUAUUACGGAACGAGUAAAGAGACUUGCCGGUAACGAGAUUAAACUAGGUAUUGGAUACUGAGGAUCGAAUCUCGGGCAAGUAACAUACCGAUGACAAAGGGAACAACGUAUGUUGUUAUGCGGUCUGACUGAUAAAGAUCUUCGUAGAAUAUGUAGGAACCAAUAUGGGCAUCCAGGUCCCGCUAUUGGUUAUUGACCGGAGAUGUGUCUCGGUCAUGUCUACAUUGUUCUCGAACCGUAGGGUCCGCACGCUUAAGGUUUCGAUGACGGUUAUAUUAUGAGUUUGUGUAUUUUGAUGUACCGAAGAAGUUCGGAGUCUCGGAUGUGAUCACGGACAUGACGAGGAGUCUCGAAAUGGUCGAGACAUAAAGAUUGAUAUAUUGGAAGCCUAUAUUUGGAGUUCGGAAUGAUUCCGGGUGAAAUCGGGAUUUUACCGGAACACCGGGGGGUUACCGGAACCCUCCCGGAGGCUAUUGGGCCUUAGUGGGCCACGAGGGAGAAGAGGAAGGGCCGGCCAGGGCAGGCCGCGCGCCCCCUCCCCCCCUAGUCCGAAUAGGAUAAGGAGAGGGGGGCGGCGCCCCCCCUUCCCUCUUCCCCUCCCCCAAUCCUACUCCAACUAGGAAAGGGGGGAGUCCUACUCCCGGUGGGAGUAGGACUCCUCCGGCGCGCCUCCUCCAAGGGCCGGCCGCACCCCCCCUUGCUCCUUUAUAUACGGGGGCAGGGGGGCACCCUAGAACACACAAGUUUGAUCUACGGAUCGUUCCUUAGCCGUGUGCGGUGCCCCCCUCCACCAUAUUCCACCUCGGUCAUAUCGUUGCGAAGCUUAGGCGAAGCUCUGUGCCGGUAGAACAUCAAGAUCGUCACCACGCCGUCGUGCUGACGAAACUCUCCCUCCCCGAAGCUCUACUGGAUUGGAGCCCGAGGAGCGUCAUCGAGCUGUACGUGUGUCAAGAACUCGGGGGCGUCGGAGUAACGGCGCCGGGAUCGGUCGGAUCGCGAGGAGAUCGUACGACUACUUCCUCUACGUUGUGAUCGCUUCCGCUUCGGUCUACGAGGGUACGUAGACAACACUCUCCCCUCUCGUUGCUAUGCAUCACCAUGAUCUUGCGUGUGCGUAGGAAAUUUUUUGAAAUUACUACGUUCCCCAACAGUGGCAUCCGAGCCUAGGUUUUUAUGGUUUGAUGUUUUGCACGAGUAGAACACAAGUGAGUUGUGGGCGAUACAUGUCAUACUACCUACCAGCAUGUCAUACUUUGGUUCAGCUGUAUUGUGAGAUGAAGCGGCCCGGACCGACAUUACGCGUACGCUUACGCGAGACUGGUUUCACCGCUACGAUCACUCGUUGCUUAAAGGUGACUGGCGGGUGUCUGUCUCUCUCACUUUAGUUGAACCGAGUGUGGCUACGCCCGGUCCUUGAGAAGGUUAAAACGGAGUCUAUUUGACAAAGUAUCGUUGUGGUUUUGAUGCAUAGGUGAGAUUGGUUCUUGCUUAAGCCCGUAGCAGCCACGUAAAAUUUGCAACAACAAAGUAGAGGACGUCUAACUUGUUUUUGCAGGGCAUGUUGUGAUGUGAUAUGGUCAAGACGUGAUGCUAUAUUUUAUUGUAUGAGAUGAUCAUGUUUUGUAACCGAAGUCAUCGGCAACUGGCUGGAGCCAUAUGGUUGUCGCUUUAUUGUAUGCAAUGCAAUCGCCCUGUAAUGCUUUAAUUUAUCACUAAGCGGUAGCGAUAGUCGUAGAAGCAUAAGAUUGGCGAGACGACAACGAUGCUACGAUGGAGAUCAAGGUGUCGCGCCGGUGACGAUGGUGAUCAUGGUGGUGCUGCAGAGAUGGAGAUCACGAAGCACAAGAUGAUGAUGACCAUAUCAUAUCACUUAUAUUGAUUUGCAUGUGAUGUUUAUCUUUUAUGCAUCUUAUCUUGCUCUGAUUGACGGUAGCAUUAUAAGAUGAUCUCUCACUAAAUUAUCAAGAAGUGUUCUCCCUGAGUAUGCACCGUUGCCAAAGUUCGUCGUGCCCAGACACCACGUGAUGAUCGGGUGUGAUAAGCUCUACGUCCAUCUACAACGGGUGCAAGCCAGUUUUGCACACGCAGAAUACUCAGGUUAUACUUGACGAGCCUAGCAUAUGCAGAUAUGGCCUCGGAACACGGAGACCGAAAGGUCGAGCGUGAAUCAUAUAGUAGAUAUGAUCAACAUAAGAUGUUCACCAUUGAAAACUACUCCAUUUCACGUGAUGAUCGGUUAUGGUUUAGUUGAUUUGGAUCACGUGAUCACUUAGAUGACUAAGAGAGAUGUCUGUCUAAGUGGGAGUUCUUUAGUAAUAUGAUUAACUGAACUUAAAUUUAUCAUGAACUUAGUACCUGAUAGUAUCUUGCUUGUUUAUGUUUGAUUGUAGAUAGAUGGCUCGUGCUGUUGUUCCGUUGAAUUUUAAUGCGUUCCUUGAGAAAGCAAAGUUGAAAGAUGAUGGUAGCAAUUACACGGACUGGGUCCGUAACUUGAGGAUUAUCCUCAUUGCUGCACAGAAGAGUUACGUCCUGGAUGCACCGCUAGGUGCCAGGCCUGCUGCAGGAGCAACACCAGAUGUUGUGAACGUCUGGCAGAGCAAAGCUGAUGACUACUCUAUAGUUCAGUGUGCCAUGCUUUACGGCUUAGAACCGGGACUUCAACGACGUUUUGAACGUCAUGGAGCAUAUGAGAUGUUCCAGGAGUUGAAGUUGAUAUUCCAACAGAAUGCCCGGAUUGAGAGAUAUGAAGUCUCCAAUAAGUUCUAUAGCUGCAAGAUGGAGGAGAAUAGUUCUGUUAGUGAGCACAUACUCAGAAUGUCUGGGUACUACAAUCACUUGACACAAUUGGGAGUUAAUCUUCCGGAUGAUUGUGUCAUUGACAGAAUUCUUCAAUCACUGCCACCAAGCUACAAAGGCUUCGUGAUGAACUAUAAUAUGCAAGGGUUAGUAAAGACUAUACCUGAGCUCUUCGCAAUGCUAAAGGUUGCGGAGGUAGAAAUCAAGAAGGAGCAUCAAGUGUUGAUGAUCAAUAAGACCACCAGUUUCAAGAAGAAAGGCAAAGGGAAGAAGAAGGGGAACUUCAAGAAGAACAGCAAGCAAGUUGCUGCUCAGGAGAAGAAACCCAAGUCUGGACCCAAACCUAAAACUGAGUGUUUCUACUGCAAGCAGACUGGUCACUGGAAGCGGAACUGCCCCAAGUAUUUGGCGGAUAAGAAGGAUGGCAAGGUGAACAAAGGUAUAUGUGAUAUACAUGUCAUUGAUGUGUACCUUACUAGAGCUCGCAGUAGCACCUGGGUAUUUGAUACUGGUUCUGUUGCUAAUAUUUGCAACUCGAAACAGGGACUACGGAUUAAGCGAACACUGGCAAAGGACGAGGUGACGAUGCGCGUGGGAAAUGGUUCCAAAGUCGAUGUGAUCGCGGUCGGCACGCUACCUCUACAUCUACCUUCGGGAUUAGUUUUAGACCUAAAUAAUUGUUAUUUGGUGCCUGCGUUGAGCAUGAACAUUAUAUCUGGAUCUUGUUUGAUGCGAGACGGUUAUUCAUUUAAAUCAGAGAAUAAUGGUUGUUCUAUUUAUAUGAGUAAUAUCUUUUAUGGUCAUGCACCCUUGAAGAGUGGUCUAUUUUUGAUGGAUCUCGAUAGUAGUGAUACACAUAUUCAUAAUGUUGAAACCAAAAGAUGCAGAGUUGAUAAUGAUAGUGCAACUUAUUUGUGGCACUGCCGUUUAGGUCAUAUCGGUGUAAAGCGCAUGAAGAAACUCCAUACUGAUGGACUUUUGGAGUCACUUGAUUAUGAAUCACUUGGCACUUGCGAACCGUGCCUCAUGGGCAAGAUGACUAGAACCCCGUUCUCCGGUACUAUGGAGAGAGCAACAGAUUUGUUGGAAAUCAUACAUACAGAUGUAUGUGGUCCGAUGAAUGUUGAGGCUCGUGGCGGAUAUCGUUAUUUUCUCACCUUCACAGAUGAUUUAAGCAGAUAUGGGUAUAUCUACUUAAUGAAACAUAAGUCUGAAACAUUUGAAAAGUUCAAAGAAUUUCAGAGUGAAGUUGAAAAUCAUCGUAAUAAGAAAAUUAAAUUUCUACGAUCUGAUCGUGGAGGUGAAUAUUUGAGUUACGAGUUUGGUCUACAUUUAAAACAAUGCGGAAUAGUUUCGCAACUCACGCCACCCGGAACACCACAGCGUAAUGGUGUGUCCGAACGUCGUAAUCGUACUUUACUAGAUAUGGUGUGAUCUAUGAUGUCUCUUACAGAUUUACCGCUAUCGUUUUGGGGUUAUGCUCUAGAGACGGCCGCAUUCACACUGAAUAGAACACCGUCAAAAUCCGUUGAGACGACACCUUAUGAACUAUGGUUUAGCAAGAAACCAAAGUUGACGUUUCUUAAAGUUUGGGGAUGUGAUGCUUAUGUGAAAAAGCUUCAACCUGAUAAGCUCGAACCCAAAUCGGAGAAAUGUGUCUUCAUAGGAUACCCAAAGGAGACAGUUGGGUACACCUUCUAUCACAGAUCCGAAGGCAAGACAUUUGUUGCCAAGAAUGGAUCCUUUCUAGAGAAGGAGUUUCUCUCGAAAGAAGUGAGUGGGAGGAAAGUAGAACUUGAUGAGGUAAUUGUACCUUCUCCCUUACUUGAAAGUAGUUUGUCGCAGAAACCGGUUUCUAAGACAUCUACACCAAAUAGUGAGGAAGUUGAUGAUGUUGAUCAUGAAACUUCAGAUCAAGUUACUACAGAACCUCGUAGAUCAACCAGAGUAAGAUCCGCACCAGAGUGGUACGGUAAUCCUGUUCUGGAAAUCAUGCUACUAGAUCAUGAUGAACCUACGAACUAUGAAGAAGCGAUGGUGAGCCCAGAUUCCGCAAAAUGGCUUGAGGCCAUGAAAUCUGAGAUGGGAUCCAUGUAUGAAAACAAAGUAUGGACUUUGGUUGACUUGCCCGAGGGUCGGCAAGCAAUAGAAAACAAGUGGAUCUUCAAGAAGAAGACUGACGCUGACGGUAAUGUUACUGUCUACAAAGCUCGACUUGUCGCAAAGGGUUUUCGACAAGUUCAAGGGAUUGACUACGAUGAGACCUUCUCACCCGUAGCGAUGCUUAAGUCUGUCCGAAUCAUGUUAGCAAUUGCCGCAUUUUAUGAUUAUGAAAUUUGGCAAAUGGAUGUAAAGACUGCAUUCCUGAAUGGAUUUCUGGAAGAAGAGUUGUAUAUGAUGCAACCAGAAGGUUUUAUCAAUCCAAAGGGAGCUAACAAAGUGUGCAAGCUCCAGCGAUCCAUUUAUGGACUGGUGCAAGCAUCUCGGAGUUGGAAUAAACGCUUUGAUAGUGUGAUCAAAGCAUUUGGGUUCAUACAGACUUUUGGAGAAGCCUGUAUUUACAAGAAAGUGAGUGGGAGCUCUGUAGCAUUUCUGAUAUUAUAUGUAGAUGACAUAUUAUUGAUCGGAAAUGAUAUAGAAUUUCUGGAUAGCAUAAAGGGAUACUUGAAUAAGAGUUUUUCAAUGAAAGACCUCGGUGAAGCUGCUUACAUAUUGGGCAUUAAGAUCUAUAGAGAUAGAUCAAGACGCUUAAUUGGACUUUCACAAAGCACAUACCUUGACAAAAUUUUGAAGAAGUUCAAAAUGGAUCAAGCAAAGAAAGGGUUCUUGCCUGUGUUACAAGGUGUGAAGUUGAGUAAGACUCAAUGUCCGACCACUGCAGAAGAUAGAGAGAAAAUGAAAGAUGUUCCCUAUGCUUCAGCCAUAGGCUCUAUCAUGUAUGCAAUGCUGUGUACCAGACCUGAUGUGUGCCUUGCUAUAAGCUUAGCAGGGAGGUACCAAAGUAAUCCAGGAGUGGAUCACUGGACAGCGGUCAAGAACAUCCUGAAAUACCUGAAAAGGACUAAGGAUAUGUUUCUCGUAAUGGAGGUGACAAAGAGCUCAACGUAAACGGUUACGUUGAUGCAAGCUUUGACACAGAUCCGGACGAUUCUAAAUCGCAGACCGGAUACGUAUUUACACUAAACGGAGGAGCUGUCAGUUGGUGCAGUUCUAAACAAAGCGUCGUAGCGGGAUCUACAUGUGAAGCGGAGUACAUAGCAGCUUCGGAAGCAGCUAAUGAAGGAGUCUGGAUGAAGGAGUUCAUAUCCGAUCUAGGUGUCAUACCUAGUGCAUCGGGUCCAAUGAAAAUCUUCUGUGACAAUACUGGAGCAAUUGCCUUAGCAAAGGAAUCCAGAUUUCACAAGAGGACCAAGCACAUCAAAAGACGCUUCAAUUCCAUCCGGGAUUUAGUCCAGGUGGGAGACAUAGAGAUUUGCAAGAUACACACGGAUCUGAAUGUAGCAGACCCGUUGACUAAGCCUCUUCCACGAGCAAAACAUGAUCAACACCAAGACUCCAUGGGUGUUAGAAUCAUUACUAUGUAAUCUAGAUUAUUGACUCUAGUGCAAGUGGGAGACUGAAGGAAAUAUGCCCUAGAGGCAAUAAUAAAGUUAUUAUUUAUUUCCUUAUUUCAUGAUAAAUGUUUAUCAUUCAUGCUAGAAUUGUAUUAACCGGAAACAUGAUACAUGUGUGAAUGCAUAGACAAACAAAAUGUCACUAGUAUGCCUCUACUAGACUAGCUUGUUAAUCAAAGAUGGUUAUGUUUCCUAACCAUGAACAAAGAGUUGUUAUUUGAUUAACAAGGUCACAUCAUUAGUAGAAUGAUCUGAUUGACAUGACCCAUUCCAUUAGCUUAGCACACGAUCGUUUAGUAUGUUGCUACUGCUUUUAUCCAUGACAUAUACAUGUUCCUGUAACUAUGAGAUUAUGCAACUCCCGUUUACCGGAGGAACACUUUGGGUGCUACCAAACGUCACAACGUAACUGGGUGAUUAUAAAGGAGUACUACAGGUGUCUCCAAAGCCAGAUGUUGGGUUGGCGUAUUUCGAGAUUAGGUUUUGUCACUCCGAUUGUCAGAGAGGUAUCUCUGGGCCCUCUCGGUAAUACACAUCACUGAAGCCUUGCAAGCAUUACAACUAAUGAGUUAGCUGUGAGAUGAUGUAUUACGGAACGAGUAAAGAGACUUGCCGGUAACGAGAUUAAACUAGGUAUUGGAUACUGACGAUCGAAUCUCGGGCAAGUAACAUACCAAUGACAAAGGGAACAACGUAUGUUGUUAUGCGGUCUGACCGAUAAAGAUCUUCGUAGAAUAUGUAGGAACCAAUAUGGGCAUCCAGGUCCCGCUAUUGGUUAUUGACCGGAGACGUGUCUCGGUCAUGUCUACAUUGUUCUCGAACCGUAGGGUCCGCACGCUUAAGGUUUCGAUGACGGUUAUAUUAUGAGUUUGUGUAUUUUGAUGUACUGAAGAAGUUCGGAGUCUCGGAUGUGAUCACGGACAUGACGAGGAGUCUCGAAAUGGUCGAGACAUAAAGAUUGAUAUAUUGGAAGCCUAUAUUUGGAGUUCGGAAUGAUUACGGGUGAAAUCGGGAUUUUACCGGAACACCGGGGGGUUACCGGAACCCUCCCGGAGGCUAUUGGGCCUUAGUGGGCCACGAGGGAGAAGAGGAAGGGCCGGGCAGGGCAGGCCGCGCGCCCCCUCCCCCCUAGUCCGAAUAGGACAAGGAGAGGGGGGCGGCGCCCCCCCUUCCCUCUUCCCCUCCCCCAAUCCUACUCCAACUAGGAAAGGGGGGGGAGUCCUACUCCCGGUGGGAGUAGGACUCCUCCGGCGCGCCUCCUCCAAGGGCCGGCCGCACCCCCCCUUGCUCCUUUAUAUACGGGGGCAGGGGGGCACCCUAGAACACACAAGUUUGAUCUACAGAUCGUUCCUUAGCCGUGUGCGGUGCCCCCCUCCACCAUAUUCCACCUCGGUCAUAUCGUUGCGAAGUUUAGGCGAAGCUCUGCGCCGGUAGAACAUCAAGAUCGUCACCACACCGUCGUGCUGACGAAACUCUCCCUCCCCGAAGCUCUACUGGAUUGGAGCCCGAGGAGUGUCAUCGAGCUGUACGUGUGUCAAGAACUCGGGGGCGUCGGAGUAACGGCGCCGGGAUCGGUCGGAUCGCGAGGAGAUCGUACGACUACUUCCUCUACGUUGUGAUCGCUUCCGCUUCGGUCUACGAGGGUACGUAGACAACACUCUCCCCUCUCGUUGCUAUGCAUCACCAUGAUCUUGCGUGUGCGUAGGAAAUUUUUUGAAAUUACUACGUUCCCCAACAGUUGCGGGAUCAGAGAGAAGGGCAAUCUCUGCACGAAGCAAGGCGCCGGCAUUAGGAUGCAAUUUGGAAAACGGAAAGAGUGUCUCAUCAAAAACAACAUCACGUGAAAUAUAGAUGCGUCUGGUAGAGAUUUCAAGGCACUUAUAACCUUUAUGAAGAUUACUAUAGCCAAGAAAGACACACUGUGUGGAUCUAAACUCAAGUUUAUGACGGUUGUAGGGACGCAAAUUUGGGUAGCAAGCACACCCAAAUAUCUUGAGAUAGUUGUAAUCAGGUUUUUGAUGAUAGAGACGCUCUAAAGGAGUAGUGUUUCCAAUAACUUUGCUAGGGAGCCUAUUGAUAAGAUAGGUGGCAGUAAUGAAAGCUUCGUCCCAAUACUUGAGAGGCAUAGAAGCAUGGGCUAACAGAGAAAGACCAACUUCAACGAUGUGGCGGUGUUUACGCUCAGCAGAGCCAUUCUGUUGAUGAGCAUGGGGGCAAGAUACAUGAUGGACAAUCCCAAUACUGCGGAAAAAAGAGUGAAGUUUCUCAUACUCCCCUCCCCAGUCACUUUGGACGGCGAGGAUUUUUCUGUCAAAUUGGCGCUCAACAAGUUUCUGAAACUCUUGGAAAAUAGAGAAGACUUCAGAUUUAUAUCGAAGUAAAUAAAUCCAAGUGAACUUGCUAUAAUCAUCGAUAAAACUGACAUAAUAUUUUUUCUGACCAAAAGAAUCUCAGGCAUGGCCCCAUACAUCACUGAAAAUAAGUUCUAAUGGAGCAUGAGACACACUAGUUGACUUGGGAUAAGGAAGCUGAUGGCUCUUGGCACAUUGACAGGCUUCACAGACAGACUCACAAACUGAACUAGGAGACAAAGAAAGUUUGUCUUUAUUGACUAUUUGUUUGAAAUUGAUCGAAGAUGGAUGCCCUAAUCGUUGAUGCCACCGUGCCAAAGAGGGCUUGAUGACGGAGUAGACGUGACGACGCUUGCGACCUAGUGCUCCGGAUGGAAUAGGGUAGAGCCCUCCAACGCAUCUACCGUGAUGAAGUAGUUCCCUCGUUGCCCGAUCCUUGAUGAAAAAAUAACGAGGGUGAGUUUCAAAGAAGACAUUGUUGUCGGUGGCUAGUCUAGACAUUGAUGCAAGGUUUUUGUCAGCUUGAGGAACAUGAAGCACAUCUCUAAGAACAAGAUCGCGUUUAAGUGUAGGGGAAUUAAUAGAACUUUGACCAAUAUGACAAAUAUACAUACCUCCACCACUAGCAGUGUGAAUCUGAUCGGCGCCAUGAUAGCGCUCGCGUAGAGCAAGUUGCUCGAGUUCGUUCGUCACAUGAUCCGUAGCACCGGAGUCGACGUACCAGACGCCAUCUCCAGCCUGCUCACGCAUGGCGGCAGCAACGUGGCGAUCUGAGGGCACGAAGUCCUCCUCGUAACUAUGCCAGCAAUCAAUCACCUCGUGGCCAGACUUUUUGCAAAGCUGGCAUCGAGGUCGCGGGCGGGAAGGAGCGCGGCGGCCGUUGUUGUUGUUGAAGCCGCCGCUGUUGCCGCUGUUGUUGUAGCCGUCCCCGCCACCAGAGCGUGCGCCAUCGCCAGGGAAGGAGGCGCCGCGUCCGCGCCCACCGCCGCGCUGCCCCUGGUGACCGCGCCCACGGCCGCGACCACGAGAGGCGGAGUUGACAGAGGAUUGCCGAAGGUCGCCGCCAUGGAGCAGAGUUAGCCGGGCAUCAAAACAGAGCAGUUGGAUGUAUAGUUCUUGGACGGUGAUGGGUUCCACCCGGGCAGCAAGUGCAGAGACCACCGGGUUGUAUUCCAUGUCCAAGCCGGCAAGGAUUUUGGAGACAAUCUCCGGAUCAGAGAGGGUCGCAGCCGUGCUUGCGACCUCAUCAGUGAGACUUUUUAUUUUACCAAGAUAAUCAGCCAUGGAUAGGUUACCUUUCUUGAGGUUGGUGAGCUCGAUGCGAGUGUUUAUCGCUUGGGCUUGGCUUUGUGCAGCAAACAUGGCAUGGAUGGUGCGCCACACCUCAGCCGGCAUCUGGAGCGUGGCGACCUGGGCAAGGAUCUCACGGGAAAGUGAACCCAUUAGGUAUCCUUGGAGUUGCUGCUGCUGUGCAUACCAGAGGGAUCUUGCAAAGUUGACGACUUGUUCUUCUUUGCCUUCCGUGGUGAUGGUGAGGGUGGCGGGUGGUGGUGGGCUCGUCGCGUCGAGGUGGUGCUCCAUCUGGGCGCCUCUGAUCUGCGGGAGCACUAUGGCCUUCCAGAGCAAAAAAUUGCCCCGCGUCAGCUUCUCCUGUGGGGGCGAUCCGAGAGAGGUGGUGUUGUGGGUGGAGGAGGAAGAUGAUGCAAAAGUAGAGGAUGAGGUGGUGGUGAGUGCACCCAUGGUACUUGGGGUCAUGGCUGCGAUGGUGGUGGACAUACUCUCGGUCGCGAUGGUAGCUAGAUGCAAUCUCUCUCGAUUGGAUGAGGAAGAGGCUCUGUUACCAUGUAAAAGUGGUUUGGGAAGCGUAGAACCCUUUGUCUCGGGCCGCAUGUAUAUAUUAGGCAGAAGCCUUGGCACACAAGUUUACAGGGGGAGAGAUCGAUCAGAUGGGAUCUAUCAAGUCGUUACAGAAGGAUCGUGAAAGACAGAAGAAGAGAUAGAACAGAAUACAGAAUUUAAACCAACUCUAUCUCUAUACAACUUCUACUACACGUCUACUAUACGCAUAUUCCAACAGUUAACACCAUGUGGCGCCGCUUCAGCUCGCCGCCCGAGGGUCAAGGUCCGGCUACUUAAGCCGUACAACGUCCCCCAGCCCUAGCCACAUCCGCUUCCUCCCUUCCGUGUUGGCAGCCCGAGCCCAUCUGCUUCUUUCCCCUCUUCCCUUGCCAUCCGCCAUGGCCGGGCAGAAGAAGACCACCUACACUAUGCUAACGUCGGAGCAGCGCUUCCAGAUGCUUGAGGAGAUCUAGGCUAGGCGGACCGUUCGGAUCACAGCGGACCUGCCUCUAAAUUCGCUGGAGCAGCAAUCGGAGCCCAUGGAGUAGGAGGAGGAGGAGCCGGAGCCGGUUGCGGACUUUGCCAUGGAGGACACCCUGGCGGAGUUCGAGGUCGCCCAAGUGGUGGAGAUGGCGUAGCAGACCGCUACGCCAUCCAGGAUGAGGCAUAUGUCGAAGCCAACUGGUGGUUCAUCCGGCAAGAAUGGGCGGCGACCGUCUUCUGCCAAACUGGACACGGAGGAGGAGGCAAAGGCCGACACGGAGGUGCCGCAUGUGCCAGAGUUGCAGCUGCUGCCCAUGUACCCGGAGCCGAGCACGAAGAUCGUGGGCAUCUUUGACAAGGAGUAGGGCAGUGUAGGUUCUGGUUGAUUUACGUAGUAGUAUAUGGGUUUUUUCUCUUUUGCAUGCUUUAUAUGGAUUUAAGGUUUCAAGUAUGAGUAAUUCGGAUGCAUAGAACGAAACUUGAGGGUUGCCCGGUCAAUGCACGCAAACGCGCCUGGGCGCGUCCGCGGGCGUUUGAGGGCCUGAAUUUGGUGUCCACGGCUGUAGAUGCUCUAAGCGGCAUGCCGAUUAGUCAAAACCUAUGUAUAUGUGUGGACAAAAGUAAAUUGAUGCAUUCAAACAUACGGGACCCGGAAAUUUUCUCUCAGGAUACCUUGGUGCCAAUUAUAGCAUACCAAAUCCUUCUCCAUAUCCAUGUCAAUUAACUACCAAAUAAAUUUCUACCGAUCCUCUUAAAAAUAAGUUCAAGUCUGCCAUUAUAAUAGAAGUACGACUAAUGUAUUUUCUUGUGAUAUAUUAAUUUCAAUUUUCAAUUCUAUAGUUUUUGGUAUGUUAAUUUGUUUCUUUAGAACCUUCAUUUGCAUAUUUUCCAAAGCAAAAGGUACAAUAAAAAAUGUGUAGGGGAGCAGAAAAAAGAGGGAAAACAAACUGAAAACAAAAGUGAAAAUAGAUAAAUAAACAACAAAAUGUCAUAAUUCUACCUAAACAGACUAAUAUAGCACAAGAAAAUGCAUUCCAUGUAAUAUGAACCUCCCCAAGCCCAUACAUUUUGCCAAAUUUUCGUCUAAUUUGUUGUUUUAGACACUUCAUUUGCGUAUUUUCCAAAAAUAAAAGUGCAACAACAAGGUGUAGGAAAACAGGAAAAAAGAGAGGGGAAAACAAAAGUGAAAAUAGAUAAAUAAACAACAAAAUGUCAUAAUUCUACCUAAACACACUAAUAUAGCGCAAGAAAGUACAUUCCGUGUAAUAUGAACCUCCCUGAGAGCAUAUGUUUAUCCACGAUCAGUUUGAGCAUACUGAAGAUGAUGCUCUGGCAUUUGCGAAGGCCACUGGGUUAGUUACUAGAAUAGUAAAAAUAGAGACCAAAAGGGUUGAGCACACCAAGUAUAGUGAUCCAUGAUAUGCAUCAAAGCAUGUAACAACUAGUUAAGCAGGAUGCCGAUUAGUCAAAACCUAUGUGUAUAUGUGGAGAAAAAUUAAAUGGAUGCAUUCAAACAUAUGGGACCCGAAAAUGUUCUCUGGGGUACCUUGGUGCCAAUUAUAGCAUAUACCAAAUCCUUCUCCAUAUCCAUGUCAAUUAAGUACCCAAUAAAUUCGUAACGAUCCUCGUAAAACUGAAAAGGGGAAACAAUAAGUUCCAGUCCGCCAUUAGGCAUCUGAUGAGAACCUACGUGACGACAUAAGUUGAAAACUCGAAACGUUAAAUCUACUCCAAUUAUGGGAAGCAUUGAGUGUGCAUGGACGCGUCCAGGGAAGAGUGAGAGAGAGGAUUGAGAUGUGCUCGCCAAGAUUACUACGAAUUAAGUCCGUGAUCUCGACCACAUUAAACCCAGCCAGCCUGUGAUCUCAAUAUCUCAUGCGAUCUUCAAAUUUGGCAAGUGAACUUGCAUUCCUCUCAGAUCAUCUCCGGCCUUGUAUAAGUAGGCUCGCACAGAUCCCAUCCAAGAAGAACUCAACUCGUGUGCCAAGAAAAACCAAAUCCAAACCGCGUCCAUGGACGUGGUGCAAGUCGCCAAUGAGGAGGUGCAGCCGGCGCCGACCCUGGAGCUAAACCUCCUCGGCGCUGUCGGUGCUGAGGCGAACGCCGUGGCGGAGGCGGAGAAGGGAAAGGCCAAGUCGAGUGAGGCCACUGAGGCGGCCGGGCCUUCGUCGGUGGUGGCAGUCGCCGGCGGCGAGAAACGCCGCGUGUUCAAGUGCAACUACUGCCCGCGCAAGUUCUACACGUCGCAGGCGCUGGGCGGCCACCAGAACGCUCACAAGCGCGAGCGCUCCGUCGCCAAGGGCGUCGCUGCGGGGCGGGGCGCCGGCCCUGGCGGCCCACUCGUGCCGCACCACCUUCGCUUCCCCAACGCCUGGCCCUAUUCCGCCACCGGCAGGUCGUUCCUCGGCGUCGCGGCGCCGUUCUACGGGAUGCACAUGCACCCCAACCUCCCCGGGUGGGGCCCGGCGGCCCAGCCGUCCCUCGCCGGGCUCACCCGUCACGCCGGCACCGGCCGCCCGAUGUACCCGCGGGCGGAGGCCUACAGCUAUGGCGCGUCGCCCAGGGCCCUCAUCCCGGCGGCCUCCCCUCGCACGACGUCGAUGACCGCGAUCCAGUGGGGUGGUGGCAGUGGCAGUGGCAGUGGCAACGGCGGCGAUCAUAGUGAAGCGAAGCAAGAAGAGGAGGAGAUCGCCAACACGGUAGACUUGACUCUCAGGCUCUAACUAAGCUCCGUAGGGUCUGAUCAUUACUCCGUUAGAGCCUUAUAAGCUUCGGUCUUGUUGUUGACAAUAGUAGUCAAAUGCUAUCAGUCAUUUAAUUAGUUGUUGAUAGGAGAAGUUCAUUCAGUUCUUGGUCGCUUGGCUCUUAUGGAACGAGCCCAACAACAGAAGUUUUGAAGUUAAGUUCUCGUCGGGUGACCGCUUGUUAGACCUCAUCAAAUCGGCGGCGCAUGAUUGGUUUAUAAGGCUGGGGCUUUAUGUCUUGAAAAUCUGUUUGUUUAGGCCUCUAUCAUCUCGCUCUCAUGUUUGGUUUGUAUGGUGGUUUGAAUUUUGUUGUAUCUCUAAGACAUCUGCACUCUUUUCUUCUUCUAUAUAAUGAUCACAUGCAAUUCUCUCUUGCAGGGUUCAAAAAAAAAGGAAGUUAAUUAAUUAAGUUAUUUCUUGUAUUUGUUAGUGCAUGGUCAACUAGCUGCUCAGGGUUCUAGCAAGUAAAUAUUUACACUUCUGCUUCAGUACACCCGCUAAACACAUCAACAAAUGAGAUCUUUCGUUACUCCUUCAUCAUAAUAAAGGGUAGGAUGAUUUAUUUUUUAAAACUUCAUCGCGCGCGCCGAGCAUGAUACGCUGCCUGCAUACAUAUCACACCGGGCCGGCCCAUUUCCCACUUUUUUCCUCUUCUGUAAAACCUAAUAAAGAAAGUGCUGACAAGAUUCCAACCGAGCACCUAUACGCUUAACUAACCAAUAAAUACUACAUCCUUCGGGAGUAUACUAACAUGCGUACGACGGCCUAGUUGGGCCAAGGCCUAAGAGGUCACCUAUACUCAUAUAAGCUCAUGUAAAAAAAGGAGUCAUUUGAUGCUGAAAAAAUAUGCUCUCAAAUGGAUCCUUCUAACCUAUCCGGAUACUCUGCAUUGAACAUGGUCUAUUUUGGACAUGCCUGAAAUGAUCCUAUUUUUUUUCAGUAGGUGAGCAUGCCUAUGAUAGGCAUGCAUCCAUGUCAUAUUUUAACUAAUUCCGACACCGCAUGCAAGUUCGGUCAUGCCCCAUCAUUUAUCGGUCAUUUUUCAUCGAGAAAACUCCAAUAAAUGCAAGAAUUGUCAAAAACUCAAAAUACUUCGUAUGGUGCUUCAUUGAAAAAAAAAAUUGUCCAAUUGAAGGAUGUGGAGGCACAACAUGCUCUUAGAUGGAGGCUUCUGGCCAACCCGAACACCCUCCAUUUAACAUGGUCUAGUUUUUACAUUCUUAAAAUGAUCCUAACUUUUUCAAGCAGGUGGGCAUGCCCAUGGUAGUCAUGCCUGGUUUGAAAAAUUUCUGAUACCGUAUGCAAGUUGCAACACGUCCAUCCAUUUAUUGGCCCUUUUUGACCGAGAAAACUUCAGGAAAUGCAAAAUUUAUCAAAAACAAAAAUAACUUGGCAUGGUGCCUUGAAUUGGUCAGACAAGGCGAUGAAAAAAAUGAUGUCAGGAAACAACACGCUAUUAGACGGAACCUUCUGGACUAUCCGGACACCAUCCAUUGAACAUGAUCUUUGUUUGAACAUCCUUCAAAUGAUCCCAACUUUUGCAAGCUGGUCAACAUACCCAUGGCAGGCAUUCAUGUCAGAUUUAAAUGACUUUCGGUACAAUAUGCAAGUUGCGACACAUCUGGCAAUUUAUCUACCUUUUUUACCGAGAAAACUCUAGAAAAUUAAAAUUUUGUCAAAAAACCAAAAUAACUUGGAAUUGUGCCCUGGAUUGGUCAUACAAGGCAAUAAAAAAAUGAGGGUCAAUUCAAGGAUGUCGAGAAACAACACCCUCCUUUAAAUAUGGCCUAGUCUUGGACAUUCUUGAAAUGACCCCAACUUUUGCAAGCAGGUGGGCAUGCCCAUGGUAGGCAACCAUGCCAGGUUUGAACGAUUUUUGACACUGUAUGAAAGUUGCGACACGUUCGGCUAUUCAACGGCUUUUUUAGUGAGAAAACUUCAGAAAAUGCAGAAUUUGUCGAAAACCAAAAUAACUUAACAUGUUGCUUUGAAUUGGUCAUAAUAGACCAUGGAAAAAAUUAGGCCCAUUUCAAAGAUGUCAAAAAACAACGUGCUCUCAGACGGGCCCUUCUGUCCUUACCCAAAUACCUUCCAUUGAACAUGGUGUUUUUGUGGACACCCAUGAAAUGAGCCCAACUUAUACAAGCAUGUGGGCAUGACCACAUUAAAAAUCCAUGCGGGUUUGAAGGAUUUUCGACACCAUAUUUGAGUUGCGACACAUCUACCUAUCUCCCGUUUUACCGAGAAAACUACAGAAGAUGCAAAAUUGUAGAAAACCAAGAUAACUUAGCAUGAUGCCUUGAAUUGCUCCUACAAGUAAAUAAAAAAUUGGGGUCAUAUGAUGGACUUUGAGCCUUCUGGCCUACCCGGACACCCUACAUUUAACAUGGUGUUUUUUUGAACAAUCUUGAAAUGAUUCCAACUUUUGCUAGCCGGUGGGCAUGUCCAUGGUAGUCGUCCAUGCCAGGUUUGAAGGAAAAAAAGUAUUUGAAAUCAUAGUUUGAUCAGAUACUUAAAACUCUUAUUUUGAUUUUUAACAUAACUAAUAAAUACAAAGGGAUAAAUUUGAAAAUAGUAAAUACUUUCUUUUAAAAUAAAUUCAUAAACAUUUUACAGAAGAAAUAAUUUAAAAUUAUUAUUUAAAAUAGUUAAUUAUAACUUAUAUUUUGGUAUUCAAAAAGGUGAAAAUGAAUUAACACAUUAGAGAGAGAAAAAUAGAAAAGUAGAAAAUAAAAUAAAACGCUUAUGCCUUAACCCAACUAGGAGACGACAUCCCUCCUGUCGGGCACACGUUGGGCCAGCCCAAGGGCUCCCGGAUUUGAAAAAGUUCAUCAGUUGUUUUUAAUAUAUACAUGGAUUUGAAUUUUUUUUGCAAAUUUUCAAAAAGACAUUACUAAAAUAGUUGCAAAGAAACGUUCCCGGUUUUGGGAACCUCAGCUUUCUUGCCGCUUUUUCCAGUUUUGAGAACCUACUAGGAUGUCGUGAACCGCAUUUUAUUCUCUUCUUUUUAUCAACUCUCUAGUUUACUUUUUUCUCUUUCUUUUUUCCUUUUUGUUAUAUUUGACUUUUCAUUUUUUUUUUCUGUUUAUAUUUCUCAUAAAUUAGAAAAUUUCAAAUUUCAAAAUUUGUUCAGAAUAUCCAAAUAUUUCAUGUUCUUCAAAUUUUGCUCAAUUAUUUAUUUAUUUAUUUGCAUUGUUUCAGAAAAAAAGAAUGUUUAAAGUGUCCUAUUUUUCAUAUUCAUUAAUAAAUGUUAAAAAUCCGGAAAAUGUUCAGAAUUUUCAAAUCUUGUUUUGGUUUCAAUUUUUGUUCAUAUUUUCUAAUCAAUGUACAAAAAUAAAAAAUGUUCACAUUUCAAAAACAAAUCAUAAAUUUGGUAAAAUGUUCACGUUGUCAGAUUUUGUUCUGAUUUUUGGAAGGUAUUCCCAUUUAAAAAAAAUUGUUCACGGAUUUAAAACUGUUUGCUUUUCCAAAUUUUGGUCAUAUUUUUAAAAUGUGCCAGCGUUCUGGAUACGGGGGUACCCAGACUUGCCUGCCUGCGGCCCACGACGUGGCUCCAUUGACGCCCUGGUACGGCCCAGCUUUAGCAUCAACAACUCAAGACCCUCGCGAGGGGUCAAGCCUCGCGAGGCGGACGACGCCAAGACCUUCAAGGGGAUCGGCCUCCCCAGGCUGGCUCCCGAGGAGCGGAGAUUUCUAUGCAAGGUGCACCUCGCGAGGUUCGGUUGACGUGAGCCAUGACGACCAAGGACAGGCGGGCGCCAGUGGGCGCAGAGUACCAGUUUCCUCUUCGGUGCAAGGGAGGCAAGCAACAGGAAUGGAGUCCCGAGAAAUCAACCAAAGAUUUCCAUUCUAAUGCAACAAGACCAAGACCGCCAACACGGCAGGACAGAGGUCACCACCGAGCCCACCGCAGCGUCACAACCAGAGGCUUUUGUAGGCGAAGACCGCUUUAGUCAGGAUAAGAUGUACCUGUUGUCUCCCUUCAAAUUUGGCUGUCGUGGGAUCCCUUCCCACCUACAUAUGGGAAGAGGACGAAGGCCACUAUAAAUAGGACCUAGCCACCACCAUGGGAUGGGAUCGAAUCUAUUCCACCCUCUCCACCUCACCAGCUCACUUGAGCUUAAGAACACGCCUCCUAAGGCUGUUCUCCACUGUACUAGUUCUUCCUAAGCCCCUCGAGGCAAUCCACCACAAAACAGGAGUAGGGUUUUACACCGCAAGAUGGCCCGAACCUGGGUACAUUGUCGUGUCUUUCUUUCCCUUCGAGCUCGACGCGAUAGGCUGUGAGGUUUGCGAAUUGUCAGGCUGGGUAGGUUGAGAUCACUGCAUGCACCCCAGAGUUCGAACCUCUCAAGGGUUUGUGGAACCCGAAAUCCGACAAAAUGUGCCCGUUUUAAAAUUUUCUUCACAAAUUAAAACACGUCCCCUUUUUCAAAAUUUGUCGACAGAUUGAAAUAAUGUUCAGGGAGUUUCAAAUAAUCUUCAUGCAUUCAAAGUUAUUCAUAAUAUAAAAAUAUUCAUGUUUAAAAAGAACUGCACAAAUACAAAAAGAUGUCCAGGGAAAUUUUAAAAAAAUUGGUUUCAUUUUCUGUUCGUUUUUUCUGUUUUCUGGAAUUCAAAUUUAGUUACUGUUUUCUUUAAAUGUGUUCAAAAUUUUGUUGACUCUUUUUGAAAAAUGUGUGUAUUUUGACAUUAUGAGUAAUUUUGAAAGAUAUGAACUUUUGGUGAAAUUUCUUUAUCAUUUUUAGAAAUACUAAUAUUUUUAUUUUGUGAAAAGAAAAGGAAAAAUGAAACCCGAGUGGAAGUCAUGCAUAAAAAAACAAAGAAGAACCAAAGAGUGAAGGAGUUGUGUUUUUUCUUAGAUUUAUCUAUCUCGGUCAACAAGAAAAGAACAAGGUUAUUAGGCAUGCCAGAUAAGCUAUCCCAGAUGGUUUGUGCGCUUACAUACAGUUCGUGAGCUCUAGUUCGAAUCGCGUGUUGGACAUCUAUAUUUUGAAGUUUAAAAGCAAAAAAAACUGUGUUAGCCCAGGAGGAGGGGUGUGCACUACGAAUCGUAUGGCGUAUGCAUUCUACAUAUGACAGUGGUACGAUUUGCAGAAGGUCCAUACUACCCUUUAUAUGUUUUGUGAGGGGAGGGGGGAGGGGGGGUGUACCAAAGUGGGAAUCAAAUAUUUAUCUCUUGUUUCAUGCACUAUAGAUACUAGAUGAUACCCCGCGCGUUGCUGCGGGAAUUUUGUAUCAAAUGAUGUUCAAAAAGUAAGCGUACAUAAAACUAUGGAGUUCAAUGAUAUGAUGGUAUUGGAUGUUUUAGAUACCAAAUAAACGGCCGAUGUCCAACUCAUACUUGCAUAAUCAUAUAAAUAUCAUGUUUCUCUAGGUUUAGAAAGAAUAUACACAUUGUGGAAUAGAUCAAUUGUGUUCCCAUAACAAUGUCCAACACGAAGUAAAUCAAGGCAAGACAAUGAAAAAUUGCAGGUACAGAUGCCGACUUGAGGAAAGAAACGCCUCUAAGGUGAUACGGUGCAGCUGAUAUAUAUGUGGCAUACUUCCUUGUUAUAGCUAGCGUUUGUUAUACUGAACCAUAUAGUAUAUUAGCUAGUUCCAUAUAAAUGUUAUUUGAAAACCCUGAAGUGUAUCAUAAAUUAUUUUUACUCCCACUAAUUUUAAUUCAUGUGUCGUGGUAUAUUCAUCUGAGUGUGUGUAUGCAGAGGAUGAGAUGGCCAAAGUUAUUAUGCAUCUGAGCAUGUGCUGACAUCUGUCAUCAUAUCCGUCUUGCUUGAUUUCUGUUCAAGUGUGGAACCAUGGCAUUUGCAUAGUAAUAAUAAAUCAGUUGCUACGUAUAAUUGUAGCUUGAUGGAAAAUCAAGACAUAUUUGCAUAUUUGUUUUGCGCAUAUUAGGCAGCUCAAAUGUUGCAUGAGUCGCCCCUCAUGUAUGUCUAAGAAAAGGUGCAUAAAAGCAUGGUAAGAUGUAGCCAAGUCCAUAUCGGUGUAUAUGCUAACGUUGCCUAGUCGGAAGAAAGGAACCAAAAUAUAUAUGAGAUACUGUAUUCCAAUGUAGGAUGAUGACGUGAAUAAUAGAGGAACAAACCCCCUUGUACAUGAACACCGCAAUACCAUAACUUGGAAGAAGAAUUUAAGGCUACACAGAGCAUGGAUCCUAAAGCAAAUUGGCUAUGGUCGAUCAAAAUCUCAAGUAAAAUUGCUAUAUGCUUUAUCAGAGUAAGUUCUACACUACCGGCCAUACUCUCCUUUUAGCUUAUGUUUAGUAAAUUGUAAGCAUGCACAUCAUAUUGAAUCAAACUCUGAUGGUCUGAUGUGUAAACAAAUUUAGUCAUUUUUUGCCAUGACAAUAUCAUGUACUCCCUCCGUAAACUAAUAUAAGAGCGUUUAGAUAACUAUUUAGUUAUCUAAACGCUCUUAUAUUAGUUUACGGAGGGAGUAUAAAUCAUUGAAUGAGUAACAUACUGGAUUGCUGGUCGUAUUAUUUCUAGAAAGUUCUUACAACCACUGCUAUUUUCUGUCUACAUCCUUUGAAAUAACAAUGAAGGGACGGGGGAAAGUCCAAAAUAUCAUGGUGAAACGUCUGAACACCGUCAGAAAAACCAAUAACAGGAUCUCUCACCUUAGGAAAUCCCAAAUGCUCGUGAUUACACAUCAGUCAAGAAAAUCCAGAUCAAGUCUUGCUAUGAUGGAAUAGAAUAACAAAACAUGAGUGGGCAUAUAUAGGAACAAAAGAAAGAAAUUCAUUAGGAAAUAGACAAUAUUUUCUAUAUUCUGGUGGUGGAAGAGAGAAUGAGCUCACGGGCUAUUGAUCUUGUCGUGGCCGUGCCGAAAAGCUAGUGAUUGCUGACUCCAUCGUCAGGUCUAGAUGUACCUCACUUAGCAAUGCGGGCUCACAUCAAUUCUCUCCUUGGCAUCCUCACAGCCUUGCUAUCCUUGUGAAGGCGUCUACCUGGAUUCAUAGAAGGCCAGCAAAUGGUUUGGCAAUGGGACUAUGGGAGCCCUACACACAUGACGGGAGCGCCACCACGGGCCCCACUCGGCCGACCCGCCGCCACUUGCUCUGGGGUGGGGAAGGUGACCGGAGGACGCGCCGGCACCGAGCAGGGUUCGCCGCGGCCUUCCCAGACUUAUGCCGAGACACCCGGCGCGCGACCGCAAGUUAAUCGCGGAGAGUAGCCGGUUCCGAUCUCGGCGUGGCGGCAUCCUCCGCGAGGUGCUCUACUUCCCAGUCGGGAGCGCCUACGCUGGGGAAGCUGGAGGCAGGGCGGGGACGGCCACCGGGGGAACUCGUCGCCAGGGAGGGGGCGCCUCUCGCCAUUGCUUACCCUGCCAAAAAAAUAAAUUGCAUGUGCACGCCCAAGCAGUCCAGAGAGAAAUGCAAGACGGGAAGAGCAACUGAAUCGCCGGUGUAGGAAAUCGAUCCGUUUCUGUUGGUAGUGGAAUUUGAUGCAGUUUGGAGAAGAUGAAGAGGAAAGGGUGCUAAGACAUGACGCGCUGCGUUGAGGAAAAACGAUGCGAUGGGGAAUCAUGUGCACAGGUCACAGACGAAAUUCUCCUGAGAAAAAUAAAUAAAUAUUGAUGCUUAUGUGGCGGUGGGUCCUUAGCAAGUAAUAACCGAAGCUUGUGUGGUAAGGGCGUUCUAGUGGUUGGACCCAUAUGUAAGUCAAUAAAAGAAUGAUGACAUGGCUGAUGUGCUUAGGUGGAUAGGCUGCAUGUCAAGAGAAUUAGUUUAGUGGGGAUGAACUAUUUAGGUAUUAUAGAUUAUAGAUUUGCAAGCAGACUCCCCUAGCAGUAGAAGCCACCGGUGCCUCCACCGUUACACCGACUCCGCAUCCCCAUCAUAGGUGUUAGCCACGAAGACCUCCUGAGACGGGUUGUAGCUUCCCGGGCUCUUGGUGUCGAGCCAAAUUUAAGAACCGAGGGUGCAUUUGCCAUGAUAUGCACAAUUAUCUAGAUACACAUACUUUCCUUCUAAAUCCACAUCUGCCAUGAUGUAUAGAGGGUAUUUUCCAUGAUUUCAAAAGACCUUGGCAAAUUCGCUUUACAGAACACGGCAAAUUCACUUUAUGGAUCAUGGCACAUUUUUUUGACAAUGAAAAUUUCUUUCCUCAUCGUCCAUAGCAAAUUCAUCUUAUUGUCCAUGGAAAAUUUACAUUUUUCAAUAAAUUGACAUGUUUCAAAGAACAAAAAUUCCAACACUUGAUUCCUUCUGUGUCCAUGGAAAAUCCAUAAAAAAUCCCAUAUUUUUCAAAAAAAAUCUAACUUAAUGGCCCAUGGAAAAUGUAGUUUACGUCUAUGGGAAAUUCACCUUUUCCGACCAUGCAAAAUUUAUUGUUUGGAACAUGCCAUUUAAAAAAAGAUUAGACCAUCAUAAUUUUGGUUUUCACCAUAAAGUUUUACUAUUUGACCAUGGCAAAGAUUUUCUUUUACAGGCCAUGGACAAAUUUAUUGGUUUCACCCUUGCAGAUUCAUUUUGCUGGUUAGACACUGAUAAAAUUAAUUUUUUAAACCUUGACAGAGUUUAAAAUGAAGGAAAUAUGCCCUAGAGGCAAUAAUAAAGUUAUUAUUUAUUUCCUUAUUUCAUGAUAAAUGUUUAUCAUUCAUGCUAGAAUUGUAUUAACCGGAAACAUGAUACAUGUGUGAAUGCAUAAACAAACAACAUGUCACUAGUAUGCCUCUACUAGACUAGCUUGUUAAUCAAAGAUGGUUAUGUUUCCUGACCAUGAACAAAGAGUUGUUAUUUGAUUAACGAGGUCACAUCAUUAGUAGAAUGAUCUGAUUGACAUGACCCAUUCCAUUAGCUUAGCACACGAUCGUUUAGUAUGUUGCUACUGCUUUUAUCCAUGACUUAUACAUGUUCCUGUAACUAUGAGAUUAUGCAACUCCCGUUUACCGGAGGAACACUUUGGGUGCUACCAAACGUCACAACGUAACUGGGUGAUUAUAAAGGAGUACUACAGGUGUCUCCAAAGGCAGAUGUUGGGUUGGCGUAUUUCGAGAUUAGGUUUUGUCACUCCGAUUGUCGGAGAGGUAUCUCUGGGCCCUCUCGGUAAUGCACAUCACUAAAGCCUUGCAAGCAUUACAACUAAUGAGUUAGUUGUGAGAUGAUGUAUUACGGAACGAGUAAAGAGACUUGCCGGUAACGAGAUUGAACUAGGUAUUGGAUACCGACGAUCGAAUCUCGGGCAAGUAACAUACCGAUGACAAAGGGAACAACGUAUGUUGUUAUGCGGUCUGACCGAUAAAGAUCUUCGUAGAAUAUGUAGGAACCAAUAUGGGCAUCCAGGUCCCGCUGUUGGUUAUUGACCGGAGACGUGUCUCGGUCAUGUCUACAUUGUUCUCGAACCGUAGGGUCCGCACGCUUAAGGUUUCGAUGACAGUUAUUAUGAGUUUAUGUAUUUUGAUGUACCGAAGAAGUUCGGAGUCCCGGAUGUGAUCACGGACAUGACGAGGAGUCUCGAAAUGGUUGAGACAUAAAGAUUGAUAUAUUGGACGGCUAUAUUCGGACACCGGAAAGGUUCCGGAAGUUUCCGGAGAAAACCGGAGUGCCGGAGGGGUUACCGGAACCCCCCGGGGGAAGUUAUGGGCCUUAGUGGGCCAAGAGGGGAGAGAGAGGGGCCGCACCAGGAGGUGGCGCCCCCCCAGGGGAGUCCGAAUAGGACAAGGAGGGGGGGGCGCGGCCCCCCUUUCCCUCUCCCUCUCCCUCUCUUUCCUUCCCCCUUCUCCCUUCCUAGUUGGACUAGGAGAGGGGAGUCCUACUCUAACUAGGAGGAGGACUCCCCCCUCCCUUGGCGCGCCACUAGGGCCGGCCGGCCUCCCCCUUGCUCCUUUAUAUACGGGGGCAGGGGGGCACCCUAGGACACACAAGUUUGAUCUACGGAUCGUUCCUUAGCCGUGUGCGGUGCCCCCUUCCACCAUAUUCCACCUCGGUCAUAUCGUCGCGAAGCUUAGGCGAAGCUCUGCGCCGGUAGAACAUCAAGAUCGUCACCACGCCGUCGUGCUGACGGAACUCUCCCUCGACACUCGGCUGGAUCGGAGUACGAGGGACGUCAUCGAGCUGUACGUGUGUCAAGAACUCGGGGGUGCCGGAGUAACGGCGCCGGGAUCGGUCGGAUCGCGAGGAGAACGUACGACUACUUCCUCUACGUUGUGAUCGCUUCCGCUUCGGGUCUACGAGGGUACGUAGACAACACUCUCCCCUCUCGUUGCUAUGCAUCACCAUGAUCUUGCGUGUGCGUAGGAAAAUUUUGAAAUUACUACGUUCCCCAACAGUGGCAUCCGAGCCUAGGUUUUUAUGGUUUGAUGUUUUGCACGAGUAGAACACAAGUGAGUUGUGGGCGAUACAAGUCAUACUACCUACUAGCAUGUCAUACUUUGGUUCAGCGGUAUUGUGAGAUGAAGCGGCCCAGACCGACAUUACGCGUACGCUUACGCGAGACUGGUUUCACCGCUACGAGCACUCGUUGCUUAAAGGUGACUGGUGGGUGCCUGUCUCUCUCACUUUAGUUGAACCGAGUGUGGCUACGCCCGGUCCUUGAGAAGGUUAAAACGGAGUCUAUUUGACGAAGUAUCGUUGUGGUUUUGAUGCGUAGGUGAGACUGGUUCUUGCUUAAGCCCGUAGCAGCCACGUAAAAUUUGCAACAACAAAGUAGAGGACGUCUAACUUGUUUUUGCAGGGCAUGUUGUGAUGUGAUAUGGUCAAGACGUGAUGCUAUAUUUU